GUUAUUGAUAAACACAGAUUGGUAGUACUACAUGGAGUGAUGACGGAAUAGGAGUUCUUCAUUGGCCCCCCUGGAAAAACUUUCUUUUACAAGUUUGUUGUUGAUAGACCUUGCUCAUAUUUCUACUAUGGGAAUUAUGGGUCCAUACAGGUAGCAGUUCCUGAGCAAGCAUUAUUGCAUGAUGAUUAAGUACUUAUGAUAUCUCUACUGGUUUAGCUUCUAAACCGUGUGUUUGGGUUGGAGAACCUAAGUUUCGCAGUCACUAUUGAUUCAUGGAAGAGCAGGAUUCGUUGUUCCUGUGCAACCAAUGUCAUUUCAGAUUGUUGUAACGGGGCGAAGCCUGAAUGCGCUCCUUGUGUGAUAACUGUUGUUCAAGGGAAAACUAUUUGGUUUAGAAUUUCGAGCUUCGCAUCUUUAUCUGUGCUGAAUUUCGAAAUCAAGGGACAUAACAUGACAGUAUUAGAAGCCGAUGGACAUUUUGCUGAGCCAUUCAUUGCCCGACCUGAAUAUUUACCCCGCGGAACUUAUGUUGUAGUAGUGAAAACCGAAAAAGAUCCAUCCAAGAUUUAUUGGGUUGCCUUUAAUGUUAUUGGUGGAAAACCGGCAACACCAACCCAUUUAGCCAUCUCAAAUUACGAUCCUAACUAUAACCAUAAACCUCCAACAUCUACUCCGCCUGCAGUUCGCUUUUGGUCCUUGUGGAGCAAUUUCUCGUAGUCCACACAUCUUGACAGAAAUUAGGUGUUUCUUUUGUUACUAUUUUAUCUGCAAGAGCAUAUCUACUGGGAAAUCGUUUUUUUUCUUGUAGACAUAGGAUGGUUAUGAUGAGUAAAGCUGUUGGUGGCACGUGAUUGGGAAUAGAAGAAAGGUCAUGAUUGUUGCAGAGCCAUUUUGAGGUCUUCUUCAACUGUUCUUAUCAAAAUUGAUGAACAUUCAUUCAAAUGGUAGGACGGUUUCAGGCAUUCAUAUCCAAGAAAUUCUGAUUAUCAGGGUUGUAAGAAUGAUAGCAAUUCUUGAAGCUUCGCCGUCUUUUAGUAUUUGGUCGAAUUAUCAGGGUUGUAAGAAUGAUAGCAAUUCUCUGUAGGUACUACUUUCUCUUGUCUUUUUUGAAUUUUUAAUCUUUAAGUUUGGGUUUUGUAGAAGUGAAUAGGCGUGGAAAAUGUACCAGUAAGAGACUUUUGACUUUUUCACUAUCUUGUUGUCCCUGUGAAGAAACCAAACAUCAGAUCUCAGCAAAGAUCGCACAGUUGUCUGUACCAAACACCAAAGUCAAGCAACGCAACGCGCACACUCUUUAUCCUGUUAUAUCUUGGUUCAGUAUUUGCCAUCUACAGUUAUAGAAUUGAUAUGUAAUUGACUGUCACCGUGCUUAUGAUUUUCUUCCUUUUCUUUGCUACAGGUUCCCAAGAUGUUCAGUUUGGAGGCUCUAAUUCUUACUUGAAUACUGAGAAUAAAGACUGCGGAGGAAAGCUUUCAUGAAAUGAAAAGGGCACAGGCGGUUCUUUCCAUAUGUUGUUUUAGACUGGGCCUUUUAUUUUACCACCGAAAUUUUUAUUUGGUUUUGUAAGUUCUAUACCUCUUUUGAAAUUUAAAAGUGCUCAACAUUUUGGAAGUCUGAAUGAGAUACAAUUUUUAGAUCA
Molecule: long non-coding RNA, 1640 nt
Organism: Papaver somniferum (opium poppy)
Lineage: Eukaryota; Viridiplantae; Streptophyta; Magnoliopsida; Ranunculales; Papaveraceae
Exons: 6
Source: RefSeq, a predicted model, not a curated record